Molecule: non-coding RNA, 26 nt
Filed under: Homo sapiens (human)
Lineage: Eukaryota; Metazoa; Chordata; Mammalia; Primates; Hominidae
Source: RNAcentral
UGGAGAUGGUCCAAGUUGCUGUGUGC